This 450-nucleotide ribosomal RNA is filed under the name uncultured bacterium. Its description in RNAcentral is "partial 16S ribosomal RNA". It matches the Rfam family "Bacterial small subunit ribosomal RNA", at positions 354 to 796 of the family's 1533-position model. The record is from RNAcentral.
GUGGGGAAUAUUGGACAAUGGGCGAAAGCCUGAUCCAGCCAUGCCGCGUGUGUGAAGAAGGUCUUCGGAUUGUAAAGCACUUUAAGUUGGGAGGAAGGGCAUUAACCUAAUACGUUAGUGUUUUGACGUUACCGACAGAAUAAGCCCCGGCUAACUUCGUGCCAGCAGCCGCGGUAAUACGAAGGGGGCGAGCGUUAUUCGGAAUCACUGGGCGUAAAGCGUGCGUAGGCGGUUUUGUAAGUUAGGAGUGAAAGCCCAGGGCUCAACCUUGGAAUUGCUCUUAAAACUGCAAGGCUCGAAUCUCGGAGAGGAUAGCGGAAUUUCCAGUGUAGCAGUGAAAUGCGUAGAUAUUGGAAGGAACACCAGUGGCGUAAGCGGCUAUCUGGACGAGUAUUGACGCUGAGGCACGAAAGCGUGGGGAUCAAACAGGAUUAGAUACCCUGGUAGUCC